This 497-nucleotide ribosomal RNA is filed under the name uncultured bacterium. RNAcentral describes it as "partial 16S ribosomal RNA". It matches the Rfam family "Bacterial small subunit ribosomal RNA", at positions 30 to 507 of the family's 1533-position model. The record is from RNAcentral.
AUUGAACGCUGGCGGCAGGCCUAAUACAUGCAAGUCGAGCGGAUGAAGGGAACUUGCUCCUGGCUUCAGCUGCCGGCGGGUGGGUAAUGCCCAGGUAUCUGACUGGUCGUGGGGGCUAACGUCCGGACACGAGCGCUAAUCCAGCACACGUCCUGAGGGUGAACGUCAUGGUUCUUCGGACCUCGCGCUACUUGCUGUGCCUUGGACGUGUUUCCUCGCUGCAUUAGCUAGUUGGUAAGGUAACGGCUUACCAAGGCUACGAUGCAUAGCCGACCUGAGAGGGUGAUCAGCCACACUGGAACUGAGACACGGUCCAGACUCCUACGGGAGGCAGCAGUAGGGAAUAUUCGACAAUGGGCGAAAGCCUGACGGAGCCAUGCCGCGUGAGUGAAGAAGGUCUUCGGAUUGUAAAGCACUGUUAGUUGGGAAGAAGAGCAGUAAGUGUAUACGUUGCUGUCUUGACGGUACCUACAGAGAAAGCACCGGCUAACUACGUG